GGAUGGGAGGGCGAUCUGGCUGCGACAUCUGUCACCCCAUUGAUCGCCAGGGUUGAUUCAGCUGAUCUGGCUGGUUAGGCGGGUGUGUCCUUCCUCCCUCACUGCUCCAUGUGCAUCCCUCCCGAAGCUGUGCGCUCGGGUGGAAGAGGACGGCCUUCCCUGAUAGAGGAGGAUCGUUCUUCGGUCAAGGGUAUACGAGUAGCUGCUCUCCCCUGCUAGAACCUCCAAACAAGCUCUCAAAUGGCAAUAAGUACAUGCCUUUCAAUAAUUACUUGAAACACAAAUGGACUAAAUGUUC
Molecule: small nuclear RNA, 298 nt
Filed under: Panthera leo (lion)
Lineage: Eukaryota; Metazoa; Chordata; Mammalia; Carnivora; Felidae
Also listed under: 1 other name
Description: 7SK RNA
Rfam family: 7SK RNA
About the family: 7SK was discovered as an abundant small nuclear RNA in the mid-70s but a possible function has only recently been suggested. Two independent studies have found that 7SK RNA binds the CDK9/cyclin T complex (known as elongation factor P-TEFb). P-TEFb activates transcription by phosphorylating the C-terminal domain of RNA polymerase II.
Source: Rfam by way of RNAcentral